RNAcentral lists this ribosomal RNA (468 nucleotides) under uncultured bacterium. RNAcentral's name for it is "partial 16S ribosomal RNA". It matches the Rfam family "Bacterial small subunit ribosomal RNA", at positions 28 to 507 of the family's 1533-position model. The record is from RNAcentral.
GACGAACGCUGGCGGCGUGCUUAACACAUGCAAGUCGAACGGAAAGGCCCUGCUCUUGUGGGGUGCUCGAGUGGCGAACGGGUGAGUAACACGUGAGUAACCUGCCCUUGACUUUGGGAUAACUUCAGGAAACUGGGGCUAAUACCGGAUAGGAGCUCCUGCUGCAUGGUGGGGGUUGGAAAGUUUCGGCGGUUGGGGAUGGACUCGCGGCUUAUCAGCUUGUUGGUGGGGUAGUGGCUUACCAAGGCUUUGACGGGUAGCCGGCCUGAGAGGGUGACCGGCCACAUUGGGACGGGGAUACGGCCCAGACUCCUACGGGAGGCAGCAGUGGGGAAUAGUGCACAAUGGGCGGAAGCCUGAUGCAGCAACGCCGCGUGCGGGAUGACGGCCUUCGGGUUGUAAACCGCUUUCGCCUGUGACGAAGCGUGAGUGACGGUAAUGGGUAAAGAAGCACCGGCUAACUACGUG